UUUACUUUACAAGAAAGGGAAAAUGCAAAUAUGCAGCUCGGCAGACCUUUCAUCAAUACUAGAUACCAAGACAAAAUAUACAUGAAUCUGCUGAUGUAGACAGAAGAACAGAAAACCACACGAUCCAUUUAUCCCCAGUAAAUCAAGAAACUUGGCACAAAGGCAGUGUUAGUCUCUGGAGACUGUUCAGCAGAAUCUACUUUAUACUCAAGGGGAAUAAAGGUGUUUUCAGUAGUGAUGGGCGAAAAGUUUCGC
Molecule: long non-coding RNA, 255 nt
Organism: Xenopus tropicalis (tropical clawed frog)
Lineage: Eukaryota; Metazoa; Chordata; Amphibia; Anura; Pipidae
Exons: 3
Source: RefSeq, a predicted model, not a curated record